Pelobates cultripes (western spadefoot toad) is the source of this 428-nucleotide non-coding RNA. The record is from the annotation of a GenBank genome assembly. NCBI's taxonomy places the organism in Eukaryota, Metazoa, Chordata, Amphibia, Anura, Pelobatidae.
GGUGGUGACUGUCACUAGUCACCACCUCCCUCUGUCACUACUCCCUCCCUCCUUCUGUCACUAGUCGCCCCCUCCCUCACUCUGUCACCUGUCACCCCCUCACUCUGUCACUAGUCACCCCCUCACUCUAGUGACAGAGUGAGGGACGGGGUGACUAGUGACAGAGUGAGAGAGAGGGUGACUAGUGACAGAGUGAGGAAGGGGGUGACACAGUGACAGAGUGAGGGAGGGGGUGGCUAGUGACAGAGUGAAGGAGGUGGUGACUGUCACUAGUCACACCCUUCCCUCCCUCACUCUGUCACUAGUCACCACCUCCCUCUGUCACUACUCCCUCCCUCCUUCUGUCACAAGUCACCCCCUCCCUCACUGUGUCACUAGUCACCCCCUCACUCUGUCACUAGUCACCCCCUCACUCUAGUGACAGAGUG